RNAcentral lists this ribosomal RNA (230 nucleotides) under uncultured bacterium. RNAcentral's name for it is "partial 16S ribosomal RNA". It matches the Rfam family "Bacterial small subunit ribosomal RNA", at positions 118 to 347 of the family's 1533-position model. The record is from RNAcentral.
UGAGGAACAUGACCUUCGGCGGGGGAUAGCCGGCCCAACGGCCGGGUAAUACCGCGUACGACCACAUGGGGACAUCCCCGAGUGGUGAAAGCAGCAAUGCGCCGAUGGAGUGCCUCGCGGCCUAUCAGCUAGUUGGUGAGGUAACGGCUCACCAAGGCGACGAUGCGUAGCCGACCUGAGAGGGUNAUCGGCCACAUUGGAACUGAGACACGGUCCAGCUCCGUAGGGAG